This 471-nucleotide ribosomal RNA is filed under the name uncultured bacterium. RNAcentral describes it as "bacterial SSU rRNA". It matches the Rfam family "Bacterial small subunit ribosomal RNA", at positions 28 to 507 of the family's 1533-position model. The record is from RNAcentral.
GACGAACGCUGGCGGCGUGCCUAACACAUGCAAGUCGAGCGGGGUUGAGGCGAGAGGUAACUCGAACUUCUACCUAGCGGCGGACGGGUGAGUAACGCGUGGGCAACCUGCCUCAAGGUUUGGGAUAACAGCCCGAAAGGGCUGCUAAUACCGGAUAUGCCUAUGGCCUCGCAUGGGGCUAUGAGCAAAGGGGAAACCCGCCUUGAGAUGGGCCCGCGUCCCAUCAGCUAGUUGGUGAGGUAACAGCUCACCAAGGCGACGACGGGUAGCCGGCCUGAGAGGGUGACCGGCCACACUGGGACUGAGACACGGCCCAGACUCCUACGGGGGCAGCAGUGGGGGAUCUUGCACAAUGGGCGAAAGCCUGAUGCAGCGACGCCGCGUGAGCGAAGAAGGCCUUCGGGUUGUAAAGCUCUUUUGCCGGGGACGAUAAUGACGGUACCCGGAGAAUAAGUCCCGGCUAACUUCGUG